GGCAUAUUUCGCGAAGGCGGAGCUCGACCGCCCACAGAAGAAGUAGCUGCCUUUAUUGAUGAACACCGGGAGGUCUACGGAGUCGGGGCUGUUCGCGCGCGUAGCGCGCUG
Spirochaeta sp. is the source of this 111-nucleotide non-coding RNA. The record is from Rfam. Lineage: Bacteria; Pseudomonadati; Spirochaetota; Spirochaetia; Spirochaetales; Spirochaetaceae.